This 253-nucleotide ribosomal RNA is filed under the name uncultured bacterium. Its description in RNAcentral is "partial 16S ribosomal RNA". It matches the Rfam family "Bacterial small subunit ribosomal RNA", at positions 524 to 776 of the family's 1533-position model. The record is from RNAcentral.
UACGUAUGGAGCAAGCGUUAUCCGGAUUUACUGGGUGUAAAGGGAGCGCAGGCGGCCUGGCAAGCCUGAUGUGAAAUACCGGGGCCCAACCCCGGGGCUGCAUUGGGAACUGCCAGGCUGGAGUGCCGGAGAGGCAGGCGGAAUUCCUAGUGUAGCGGUGAAAUGCGUAGAUAUUAGGAGGAACACCAGUGGCGAAGGCGGCCUGCUGGACGGUGACUGACGCUGAGGCUCGAAAGCGUGGGGAGCAAACAGG